CAAACCUUUUUAUUUUUCCCUCAAAACUUUUACUCCUUCCCACUUCCCCCGAAAACUUUUACUCCCCUCCCCUCCCAACCCCCCAAUCUACCCAAAAUCCAUUUUCCACCAAAAUUUUACUCUCCCAUUUACUUUUUCUCAAAAUUUUACUCCCAAAAACCCUCAAAACCUUUUAUUUUCCCCCAAAAUUUUUACUCCCUCCCACUUUUCCCCUAAAACUUUUAUUCUCUUCCCAUCCCACCUCUCAUCUACCCCAAACCCUCGCCCCUCCAAAAUUUUUUUAAUAUUUUCCCUCCAAUUUUUUACUCCCCCUAUUUACUUCCCCUCAAAC
RNAcentral lists this long non-coding RNA (331 nucleotides) under Gossypium raimondii (Peruvian cotton). RNAcentral's name for it is "long non-coding RNA (GRAI_LNC008969)". The record is from RNAcentral. Lineage: Eukaryota; Viridiplantae; Streptophyta; Magnoliopsida; Malvales; Malvaceae.